GACGAACGCUGGCGGCGUGCUUAACACAUGCAAGUCGAACGGAAAGGCCCUGCUUUUGUGGGGUGCUCGAGUGGCGAACGGGUGAGUAACACGUGAGUAACCUGCCCUUGACUUUGGGAUAACUUCAGGAAACUGGGGCUAAUACCGGAUAGGAUCUCCUGCUGCACGGUGGGGGUUGGAAAGUUUCGGCGGUUGGGGCUGGACUCGCGGCUUAUCAGCUUGUUGGUGUGGUAGUGGCUUACCAAGGCUUUGACGGGUAGCCGGCCUGAGAGGGUGACCGGCCACAUUGGGACUGAGAUACGGACCAGACUCCUACGGGAGGCAGCAGGGGGGAAUAUUGCGCAAUGGGCGGAAGCCUGAUGCAGCAACGCCGCGUGCGGGAUGACGGCCUUCGGGUUGUAAACCGCUUUCGCCUGAGACGAAGCGUGAGUGACGGUAAUGGGUAAAGAAGCACCGGCUAACUACGUG
RNAcentral lists this ribosomal RNA (468 nucleotides) under uncultured bacterium. RNAcentral's name for it is "partial 16S ribosomal RNA". It matches the Rfam family "Bacterial small subunit ribosomal RNA", at positions 28 to 507 of the family's 1533-position model. The record is from RNAcentral.